GUGGGGCUCAGUGGUAGAGUGUGUGCUUAGUAAGCACGAGGCCCUGGGUGCCACUCCCAGCAC
RNAcentral lists this transfer RNA (63 nucleotides) under Heterocephalus glaber (naked mole-rat). It matches the Rfam family "tRNA", at positions 5 to 66 of the family's 71-position model. Rfam says of the family: Transfer RNA (tRNA) molecules are approximately 80 nucleotides in length. Their secondary structure includes four short double-helical elements and three loops (D, anti-codon, and T loops). The record is from Rfam by way of RNAcentral. Lineage: Eukaryota; Metazoa; Chordata; Mammalia; Rodentia; Bathyergidae.